UGAAUAAGUGCAUAUCGUGGAUGCCUUGGCGAUUACAGGCGACGAAAGACGUUGUAGGCUGCGAUAAGCCUCGGGGAGCUGCCAAACAAGCUUUGAUCCGAGGAUUUCCGAAUGGGGAAACCCACCCGUAAGGGUAUCCCGUGCUGAAUACAUAGGCACGUGGAGGCGAACCCGGUGAACUGAAACAUCUAAGUAGCCGGAGGAAAAGAAAUCAACCGAGAUUCCCUGAGUAGCGGCGAGCGAAAGGGGACUAGCCCUUAAGCAACUUGUGUUUUAAGAGAACAGUCUGGGAAGGCUGGCCAUAGUGGGUGAUAGCCCCG
RNAcentral lists this ribosomal RNA (320 nucleotides) under Alexandrium tamarense. RNAcentral describes it as "partial Bacterial large subunit ribosomal RNA". It matches the Rfam family "Bacterial large subunit ribosomal RNA", at positions 1 to 375 of the family's 2925-position model. The record is from RNAcentral. Lineage: Eukaryota; Dinophyceae; Gonyaulacales; Pyrocystaceae.